CACGCCCUAAACGAUGGAUGCUAGAUGUGGGGAGUAUCGACCCUCCCCGUGUCGGUUAAAAUAGCUAACGCAAUAAGCAUCCCGCCUGGGAAGUACGGCCGCAAGGCUAAAACUCAAAGGAAUAGACGGGGACCCGCACAAGCGGAGGAGCAUGUGGUUUAAUUCGACGGUAACCGAGUAACCUCACCCAGGUUUGAAAUGUACCUGCAAGCCCUUGGAAACAGGGGCCGCCUUCGAGGGUGGUACACAGGUGC
Molecule: ribosomal RNA, 254 nt
Filed under: uncultured bacterium
Lineage: Bacteria
Description: partial 16S ribosomal RNA
Rfam family: Bacterial small subunit ribosomal RNA
Source: RNAcentral